CCGCAAGCCGAACGCAGUGAGGUGCGGUUAGGCUGCAACAAAAGAUUCCAAGCGACUGUUUACCAAAAACACAGGUCCCUGCUAAACCGUAAGGUGAUGUAUAGGGGCUGAUGCCUGGCCAGUGCCAGAACGUUAAGGAAGUGGGUCAUCUCGAUUUAUCGGGAGAAGCUCGCGACCGAAGCGCUGGUGAACGCCGGCCGUAACUAUAACGGUCCUAAGGUAGCGAAAUUCCUUGUCGGGUAAGUUCCGACCCGCACGAAUGGCAUAACGACUUGGAAACUGUCUUGACGAUGUACUCGGCGAAAUUUCAACACGAGUGAAGAUGCUCUUUACCCGCGGCUGGACGAAAAGACCCCGUGAAGCUUUACUACAACUUGACAUUGAGUUAGAAUUCCGUAUGUUCAGAAUAGGUGGGAGGUUCGACGCAAGUCGAACCGACAGUGAGAUACCACCCUUGCGUUAUUUUAUCUCUAACCCGAGACCUUGAAUCAGGUUUUGGGGACAGUGUCUGGCGGGUAGUUUAUCUGGGGCGGAUGCCUCCCAAAAAGUAACGGAGGCGUUUACAAAGGUUGGCUUGGCCCGGAUGGAAAUCGGGUUCUAAAGUGCAAACGCAUAAGCCAGCUUUACUGGAACUCCUACAAGAGGACUAGUUGCGAAAGCAGAAGUUAGUGAUCCGACCGUUCGUCAUAGGACGGCGGAAGCUCAUCGGACAAAAGCUACUCCGGGGAUAACAGGCUGAUCCUUCCCGAGCGUCCACAGCGACGGAAGGGUUUGGCACCUUAACUUAAAAUCGGGGUGCUAUUUCGAGCAAUCGAAAUACCAAAAAAUGGCUAAUAACGGUGAACUCUUAGUAAAAGAUAUUUGCAGUGGUGUAUUUUAUGUAAAUAUUUAUUUAUUGAGACAAUACCGUGGGAAGUCCGAAAAUUUCGGACCCCGUAACGACUGAUUCUCUGAUUUAUCAGAGAUGAGAUAGUAGGUACUCGAUAAUCGAGAUGUAAACUAUUAUCAUACGCCAUCUCCUAUCACAUGAAUGAUAGGAUGAAGAUAUAGUCUAACGUUACUAGUAAUAGUAAAUACGACAGCGAUGUCGGCUCGUCGCAUCCUGGGGCUGGAGAAGGUCCCAAGGGUUUGGCUGUUCGCCAAUUAAAGCGGCACGCGAGCUGGGUUCAGAACGUCGUGAGACAGUUCGGUCUCCUAUCCGCCGUGGGCGUCGAGAUUUGAGAGAACCCUUCUCUAGUAAGAAAUUGCUACUUCCACGAGUAAUUGUGGUUGACAAUUCGGCUAAUAACGGUGAAAUCUUAUAAAUAAUUCUGGUCUAUGUUAUAAUAUAUGCUAGAGGACCUUAAUUAUUAAAAGACAAUACCGUGGGAAGGCAAACUAAAUUAUCAAAAGAAGAAAAUUUUGCUUAUAUCGCAGGUUUUUUAGAUGGCGAUGGAAGCUUGAUGGUACAGUUUAAGAAAAGAAAUGAUAGUAAAAAAUUGAGAAUAAUGUUUACUAUCUGUUUAUAUCAAGAUUCUAGACACGAUAAACCUUUGUAUUGGAUACAAAAGCGAUUUAAAGUUGGAUAUAUAUCAAAGAGAAAUGAUAAUAUAACAGAAUUAAGAAUCAACGGCUAUAAAUCUGUUGGAAAAAUUCUGAAAAUAUUACAAAGAUAUAUUCGAUUUAAGCAUAAGCAAGUUUCUUUGAUUCUUAAAGCUAUAGAAAUUUUAGAAAAUACUAAAUAUAGUAGAGAUACUUUAUUGAAAGUUGCUAAAAUUUCUGAUGAAAUAGCUAAAGAAAAUUAUUUUUCUUCACAGCGUAAGUAUACUUAUGACUAUGUAAAAAAAAUAUUAGAUAAUUAGCUUGUCCCCGUAACGACUGAUCCCGAAAGGGAGAGAUGAAAGGUAACCGAUAAUCGGAUAAACAAACUUUCAUCAUACGCCGACCCCUACUCCUUUUAAAGGACAAGAGGGUGAAGAUAUAGUCUGCGCCAUUAGUGAUAAUGGAAAUACGUGACGAGAGGACCGAGAAGGACGAACCUCUAGUGUGGGAGUUGUUCUGCCAAGGGCACAGCUUCGUAGCUAAGUUCGGCACGGAUAAACGCUGAAAGCAUAUAAGCGUGAAGCCGUUCUCAAGAUUAGAUCUCAUUUAGGUUCCAGAGAGACUAUCUGGUUGAUAGGCAGCAGGUGUAAGCGCAGUAAUGCGUGUAGCCGAGCUGUACUAAUAAACCGAGCUCUUUUCCCUA
RNAcentral lists this ribosomal RNA (2224 nucleotides) under Patescibacteria group bacterium. Its description in RNAcentral is "partial 23S ribosomal RNA". It matches the Rfam family "Bacterial large subunit ribosomal RNA", at positions 1744 to 2924 of the family's 2925-position model. The record is from RNAcentral.